RNAcentral lists this ribosomal RNA (459 nucleotides) under uncultured bacterium. RNAcentral describes it as "bacterial SSU rRNA". It matches the Rfam family "Bacterial small subunit ribosomal RNA", at positions 28 to 507 of the family's 1533-position model. The record is from RNAcentral.
GAUGAACGUUGGCGGUGUGCCUAAUACAUGCAAGUCGAACGGAGACUGUAGCAAUACUGUCUUAGUGGCGAACGGGUGAGUAACGCGUUGGUGAUCUGCCUCGAAGUGUGGAAUAACCUCCCGAAAGGGAAGCUAAUACCGCAUAGUCUCUCAAGGUUUAGAAAAUUGAGAGUAAAGGAUUUAUUCGCUUUGAGAGGAGCCUGCGUCCCAUCAGCUAGUUGGUAAGGUAAUGGCCUACCAAGGCGAUGACGGGUAGGGGACCUGGAGAGGGUGGCCCCCCACAAUGGAACUGAAACACGGUCCAUACACCUACGGGUGGCAGCAGUAGGGAAUAUUAGAAAUGGACGAAAGUCUGAUCUAGCAACACCGCGUGUGCGAAAGAAGGCCUUCGGGUUGUAAAGCACUUUUGGAAGGAUUAGGAAGGAAUGUACUUCAGAAUAAGUCUCGGCUAACUACGUG